GGGGAAGUGUCGGAAUUGGCAGACGAGCGUGACUUAGGAUCACGUGGAGACAAUCCGUGAGAGUUCGAGUCUCUUCUUCCCCA
This 83-nucleotide transfer RNA is filed under the name Chloroflexota bacterium. RNAcentral's name for it is "Chloroflexi bacterium (anaerobic digester metagenome) tRNA-Leu". It matches the Rfam family "tRNA". From Rfam's summary of the family: Transfer RNA (tRNA) molecules are approximately 80 nucleotides in length. Lineage: Bacteria; Bacillati; Chloroflexota. The record is from RNAcentral.